RNAcentral lists this unclassified non-coding RNA (406 nucleotides) under Hevea brasiliensis (rubber tree). The record is from RNAcentral. Lineage: Eukaryota; Viridiplantae; Streptophyta; Magnoliopsida; Malpighiales; Euphorbiaceae.
AGAAAAUUGAACAUUAAUUUAUGAUAUCACAUACAUAAAAUCUAUCUAUAUAUAUAAAACAUGUAGGUUUUCCUUAGUAUUGCUAUAUAGGCUUUCAAAUCUAUUAUACUUAUGCGAAGUGAUAAUUUUAAAUUGCAUUUACUGAUGAUAAUUUUUCUUUUAAAAGAGCUACGUUUAUUUUAAAGGAAAAUCAAAACCGUUUAGUGAAUUAAAGGAAAAUCAAAACCGUUUAGUGAAAUAUUUUUAACUACAUUUACUGCAAUUAAAUGUAAUACUUAAUUGUUGAUGAUUUGCCAACCCAAGACAUUUAAUUUCAAAAUUCAACGAAUAUUAUCAUGACUCUCCAAUAAUUACCAUAACUGAAAGUUUUUUUUUUAAUAUAUUUUUUUUAUCCCAUAUGUAAUUG